AACGAACGCUGGCGGCAGGCUUAACACAUGCAAGUCGAACGAUGUAGCAAUACAUAGUGGCGCACGGGUGAGUAACGCGUGGGAAUGUACCUUUUAGUGGGGGAUAACUCCGGGAAACUGGAGCUAAUACCGCAUACGCCCUUCGGGGGAAAGAUUUAUCGCUAAAGGAUCAGCCCGCGUGAGAUUAUGGUAGUUGGUGAGGGAAUGGCUCACCAAGCCGACGAUCUCUAGCUGGUCUGAGAGGACGACCAGCCACACUGGAACGGAGACACGGUCCAGACUCCUACGGGAGGCAGCAGUGGGGAAUAUUGGGCAAUGGAGGCAACUAUGACCCAGCCAUGCCGCGUGAGUGAUGAAGGCUCUAGGGUUGUAAAGCUCUUUCGCCGAUGAAGAUAAUGACGGUAGUCGGAGAAGAAGCCCCGGCUAACUUCGUGCCAGCCGCCGCCGUAA
RNAcentral lists this ribosomal RNA (450 nucleotides) under uncultured bacterium. Its description in RNAcentral is "partial 16S ribosomal RNA". It matches the Rfam family "Bacterial small subunit ribosomal RNA", at positions 29 to 523 of the family's 1533-position model. The record is from RNAcentral.